Long non-coding RNA from Peromyscus eremicus (cactus mouse), 897 nucleotides. RefSeq lists it as uncharacterized. Lineage: Eukaryota; Metazoa; Chordata; Mammalia; Rodentia; Cricetidae. The transcript has 3 exons. The record is from RefSeq and is a predicted model, not a curated record.
CUGUCUAGGCAAAACCCUUAUCAAACUACAAGUCUCUGUGGAGAGGGGGAGGGUGAAACUGCGGCAGAGAUUUUGCCCACCUUCUCCAUCUGGAAGAGUUUCGGGACCCCGAGAGGGGCAGCCGAAGAGGGUCCCAAGAGACCUGUAGAACAUGGAGGGUGGGUGAGCGGUCAGGGGCCUGAGGAAGUGAAGCUCUGACCUCCCAGCAUUCUGGUUUGUGACGUCAUCACUUUAGAUCUCAGCUCUGUCACUGACAGCUCGGAAGGCACUGCAGCUUACCUUAGAACCAUGGGGACCGAAAGGGACCGCCAUUCUUCCCAGCACUACAUCCCUACCCCCCUCAUGCUUCACCCCUCCUCCCUGCCUCCCUCACGCAGGACUCCACAGACAAAAGUACCUGUACGGUGUCACAAGCUGUGUGUGUCAUCAGACACAUGGACACAAGUAUGUCAUUGAGCAGUACAAUGUUAGCUAGAACGUAGCCAGUUGGUGUCUUUUUGAGACAAUUUAUUGCACAAUGUCAUGGGGGACAUGAUUCACACAGUUUCUAAGUUCUCUCCACUCCUACACCCUGGCUUCCUGCCCACUGACUCAGGGUAUAGUGAUUGGCUUACCUCAGUCAAAAGAAGGGGACUUGUACAGGACAGACCCCGGCCAGCCAGAGGCCUUCCAUACCUGCACUCAAGCACUCUAUCUAGUGCUGGAUUCUUGGACUUCUGACUUGCCUUGCUGGUGAGAUGGCUUAUGGGGUGAGAGCACUUGCCAGCAUGCCUGACGACUGGAGCCUGAUCCUCAGAACCAGUGUGGUGGAAGAACUGACUCCUGUAAGUUGUCUUCUGGUCACUACACUUGUGCUGGGACAUGGGUGCAACCAUGUCAACCCCCUCUCACACACAA